GGGACAAGCCCAGCACCGAAUCCCCCGGCAUGCAGCCGGUGGGAAAUGUGGUGUGUGGGACGCCAACUGUCGUCCGCGCUGGAGACCGAAGUCCUCCUGAUCGGGGCCUCUCCCACAGCGGGUGUCAGGCCUUUACUGGUCUCUGGCCGGGCGGCUGCGAGCGUCUCAGGAGUCGGGUUGUUUGGGAAUGCAGCCCAAAGCGGGUGGUAAACUCCAUCUAAG
RNAcentral lists this ribosomal RNA (222 nucleotides) under Amuropaludina praerosa. RNAcentral describes it as "partial 28S rRNA". It matches the Rfam family "Eukaryotic large subunit ribosomal RNA", at positions 100 to 314 of the family's 3401-position model. The record is from RNAcentral. Lineage: Eukaryota; Metazoa; Mollusca; Gastropoda; Architaenioglossa; Viviparidae.